Molecule: long non-coding RNA, 1608 nt
Organism: Gallus gallus (chicken)
Lineage: Eukaryota; Metazoa; Chordata; Aves; Galliformes; Phasianidae
Source: Ensembl
GGCCGAGAAGCUCGGGAAGGCAGGGCGGAGCGGAGGGUCCCACGCACCCUAAAAUUGGCGUGUGGAAUCACAGAAUCACGACGGUUGGAAAAGUGCUUUCAUAUCGUCUCGUCCAACCUCUGGCCCUCCACCACCACGCCCACUGAGCGCGUCCCUCAGUGCCGCGUGAACGCGGUUCUUAAACGCCUCCAGGGACGGUGACUGCGCCGCCUCCCUGGGCAGCUGUGCCACCGCCUCACCGCUCUGAGAAGGGUUUUUUUUCCUAAUAUCCAACCUAAAAAGGAAUGGAGUGUUAAUUCUUCGUGGCAGAUGCUGGGAUUGAAGGGCCGUGAAGAUGGUGAAGGGCCUGGAGCACCUCUCCUGUGAGAAGCUAAAAACGCUGUGCCUGCUCAGCCCGGGUUACUCGGACUCGGGGAUCUCUGAAGGGAGACCGCACAGAGGACGGAGCCAGGCUCUGUUCAGCGGUGCUCAGCGCCAGGGCCAGAGGCCAUAGGCAUAAAGCGCAGCACAGGAGCUCCCUCUGAGCACUAGGUAGCUCUCUGUGCCGUGCGGGUGACGGAGCGCUGCCACAGGCUGCCCAGAGGCUGGAGAGUCUCCUUGGAGACCUCCAAAAGCACCUGGAGGUGGGCCUGGGCACCGUGCUCUGGGUGUCCCUGCUGGAGCAGGGCCUGUGCCGGAUGGACCUGGAGGCCCUGCCUGCUUCAGACCCGCUGUGAUUCUGUGAAAUCUGCUGGCACCAGAAGGCAGUUUGAUGGUUUCUGUGGGCACGGCAGGAUAAGAAGGAACAAUUUGGGAUGCUGCUGCAGCAUGGAUAAAGGAGGAAAAGGAUUCACUAAUUCUUCAGAUAAAGAACAAACCACAUGCUUCCCUCACAUUUCUUCUGAGGAGAACAAAGCCAGCAUCUCCUCAGCUUUCCACAGAAACUCCACAACUGGUUGCAAGUGACCAAUUUAGGAUGAGUUGGUGAAGUCACGGUGGAAACUGUGUUGUCAUCAGUGAAGAAAUAUUUAAGCUGGAAAGGAAGGGACCUGUGAGAGUUUUUCAGACCGAAAACAUGAAAAGCCUCAUUCACCAACUUAAUUGUAUCUAUUCACCAAAACACACCAUGACAGCAAAAGUCCUCUCUUCAGUCUUGCAAAGGAAGAAGCAUCUGCUGCUCACAGGAAGAGAUGAUCCACAACUGCCUGAACACUGCCAGCAAAGAGUUGCCCUGAGGAGAUGAGAGGUGGCUGCCCCUGCCCUGCAGGGAGACCUGAACGAGAGCCACCUGAGGAGCAGACCAGGUGCUCAGCCUAUGUGGGGCGGAGCUGUUCCGCAAGGUAGGAGGCUGCUGGCAGCACCAAAGGAAGAAGGCACAGAGACAGCAGCACCCAUGGGGCCCCCGCCACUCAAGCGCCCUAAGAAAGCUCCACCCAAACCAGUGCUGCUCCAGCCCUGCCAGUCCCUGCUGCAGCAGCACAGAGGGAAACGUGCCAGCCUCUGGCCCCCUUCAAGCUGCCACUGAGCAGACAGAUAAUUCUGGCAAUAUGUUUGAGUAAUACACCUUCUCCACUCUCAGGUCCUUUCAGUUAUUUAUCUAUUUAUCUCUGUAAUGGUUCUGGAAAUAAA